RNAcentral lists this ribosomal RNA (253 nucleotides) under uncultured bacterium. RNAcentral's name for it is "partial 16S ribosomal RNA". It matches the Rfam family "Bacterial small subunit ribosomal RNA", at positions 524 to 776 of the family's 1533-position model. The record is from RNAcentral.
UACGAACUGUGCAAACGUUAUUCGGAUUUACUGGGCUUAAAGGGUGUGUAGGCGGGCUUUUAAGUCAGUGGUGAAAUCUCCGGGCUCAACCUGGAAACUGCCAUUGAUACUAUUAGUCUUGAAUUUUGUUGAGGUAGGCGGAAUAAGUCAUGUAGCGGUGAAAUGCAUAGAUAUGACUUAGAACACCAAUUGCGAAGGCAGCUUGCUAAACAAAUAUUGACGCUGAGGCACGAAAGCGUGGGGAUCAAACAGG